GGAGGCAGCAGUGGGGAAUCUUGCGCAAUAGGGGAAACCCUGCACGCAGCGACGCCGCGUGGAGGAUGAAGGUCUUCGGGUUGUAAACUCCUUUUCUCAGGGAAAAUGAUGAUGGUACCUGAGGAAUAAGCCACGGCUAACUCUGUGCCAGCAGCCGCGGUAAGACAGAGGUGGCGAGCGUUGUUCGGAAUCACUGGGCUUAAAGGGCGAGUAGGCGGUGGAGCAAGUCUGAGGUGGAAUCCUAUGGCUUAACCAUAGAAUUGCCUUAGAAACUGCUUUACUUGAGUCAGUGAGGGGAGGGCGGAAUUCCUGGUGUAGCGGUGAAAUGCGUAGAUAUCAGGAGGAAGGCCUGUGGCGAAGGCGGCCCUCUGGCACUGAACUGACGCUGAGGCGCGAAAGCGUGGGGAGCAAACAGGAUUAGAUACCCUGGUAGUCCACGCCCUAAACGGUGGGCAUUAGGUGUAGGGCUCGUAAGGGUUCUGUGCCGAAGGAAACCAUUAAAUGCCCCGCCUGGGGAGUACGGCCGCAAGGUUGAAACUCAAAUGAAUUGACGG
Molecule: ribosomal RNA, 554 nt
Filed under: uncultured bacterium
Lineage: Bacteria
Description: bacterial SSU rRNA
Rfam family: Bacterial small subunit ribosomal RNA
Source: RNAcentral